AGCAGCCGCGGUAAUUCCAGCUCCAAUAGCGUAUAUUAAAGUUGUUGCAGUUAAAAAGCUCGUAGUUGAAUUUCGGGGUCAGUAGGUCGGUCGUGCCACUGGUAUGAACUGGUUUUACUGAUUCCUCCCUCUUGAAGAACUGUAAUGCCAUUAAUUUGGUGUUGCAGGGAAUCAGGACUGUUACUUUGAAAAAAUUAGAGUGUUUAAAGCAGGCUUUAGCUUGAAUACAUUAGCAUGGAAUAAUGAAAUAGGACGUUUGAUCCUAUUUUGUUGGUUUCUAGGAUUGACGUAAUGAUUAAUAGGGAUAGUUGGGGGCAUUAGUAUUCAAUUGUCAGAGGUGAAAUUCUUGGAUUUAUUGAAGACUAACUACUGCGAAAGCAUUUGCCAAGGAUGUUUUCAUUAAUCAAGAACGAAAGUUAGGGGAUCGAAGACGAUCAGAUACCGUCGUAGUCUUAACCAUAAACUAUGCCGACUAGGGAUCGGAUGAUGUUAAUUUUUUAAUGACU
Molecule: ribosomal RNA, 506 nt
Filed under: uncultured Glomus
Lineage: Eukaryota; Fungi; Glomeromycota; Glomeromycetes; Glomerales; Glomeraceae
Description: SSU rRNA
Rfam family: Eukaryotic small subunit ribosomal RNA
Source: RNAcentral